AGUGAACGCUGGCGGUAGGCCUAACACAUGCAAGUCGAACGGCAGCACAGUAAGAGCUUGCUCUUACGGGUGGCGAGUGGCGGACGGGUGAGGAAUACAUCGGAAUCUACUUUUUCGUGGGGGAUAACGUAGGGAAACUUACGCUAAUACCGCAUACGACCUACGGGUGAAAGCAGGGGAUCUUCGGACCUUGCGCGACUGAAUGAGCCGAUGUCGGAUUAGCUAGUUGGCGGGGUAAAGGCCCACCAAGGCGACGAUCCGUAGCUGGUCUGAGAGGAUGAUCAGCCACACUGGAACUGAGACACGGUCCAGACUCCUACGGGAGGCAGCAGUGGGGAAUAUUGGACAAUGGGCGCAAGCCUGAUCCAGCCAUACCGCGUGAGUGAAGAAGGCCUUCGGGUUGUAAAGCCCUUUUGUUAGGAAAGAAAAGCAGCAGGUUAAUACCCCGCUGUUCUGACGGUACCCAAAGAAUAAGCACCGGCUAACUUCGUG
This 492-nucleotide ribosomal RNA is filed under the name uncultured bacterium. RNAcentral describes it as "partial 16S ribosomal RNA". It matches the Rfam family "Bacterial small subunit ribosomal RNA", at positions 29 to 507 of the family's 1533-position model. The record is from RNAcentral.